Long non-coding RNA from Dreissena polymorpha, 6888 nucleotides. RefSeq lists it as uncharacterized. NCBI's taxonomy places the organism in Eukaryota, Metazoa, Mollusca, Bivalvia, Myida, Dreissenidae. The record is from RefSeq and is a predicted model, not a curated record. The transcript has 2 exons.
UUUUUUUUUCAAAUUAUUUGAAUUUAUACUGGGGGACAUGUUUUGCCCUGUCUGUUGGUUUGUUUGUUUGUUGGCUUGUUUGCCAUAACUUUUGCAAUAUUGAAGAUAUCAACUUGAUAUUUGGCAUGCAUGUGUAUCUCAUGGAGCUGCACAUUUUGAGUGAUGAAAGGUCAAAGGUCAAAUAUACGGUUAAAAGCGCUCAUUAAAUAUACACUAUAACUUCGUUAGAACUUCUUUCACAUACUUAAUAUCUCAUAUGUAAUGUAUCUCAUACAGCUGAACGUUUGAAAUAGUGAAUUGGUAACUUCAAUGUCACCCAUCUAGGUCAAAGGUCAAGUUCUUCUACAAACUCAAAUACUUCAAAUUUAAUUACAGAACUUUCUGUGUCAUUAAUACUAUAAUAGGCAUGAUUUGUGUAUCUGAACUCCAUCACUAGUGUAUCUUUUAUCCCUAUUAUCAAGGCGUCUUUUAUAACAUUAUACCAUAAUAUCCACAGCCUGUUGGCAUUUAUUGUUUAUAAUGUAUGUGACUUUAAAAUUAACAAAUUUCUAAAUGUGAGCAAUUUUUAUGUCCAUAACUGGUGUAACUUUGAUGUCCAUAACCUAAGUGACAUAUUCUAAGUAACGGUAAUGUCCGUAAGUUGUGUGACUUAAUUGUUCAUAACCUAAGUGACUGUCAUGUCCAUAAAUUGUGUGACUUUAAUGUUAAUAAUCUAUUCUAAGUAACAGUAAUGUCCAUAAGUUGUCUGACUGUAAUGUCCGUAAGUUGUGUGACUUAAUUGUUCAUAACCUAAGUGACUGUCAUGUCCAUAAAUUGUUGUGUGAUUUUAAUGUUAAUAAUCUAUUCUAAGUAACAGUAAUGUCCGUAAGUUGUGUGACUGUAAUGUCCAUAAGUUGUGUGACUUAUUUGUUCAUAACCUAAGUGACUGUCAUGUCCAUAAAUUGUGUGACUGUAAUUUUAUUAAACUAAGUAACUGGCAUGUCCAUAACUUGUGUGACUUUAACAUCCAUAACCUAAGUGACUGUAAUGUCAUAAAUUGUGUGACUUUAAUGUUAAUAAUCUAUUCUAAGUAACGGUAAUGUCCAUAAGUUGUGUGACUGUAAUGUCCAUAAGUUGUGUGACUGUAAUGUCCGUAAGUUGUGUGACUUAAUUGUUCAUAACCUAAGUGACUGUCAUGUCCAUAAAUUGUGUGACUUUAAUGUUAAUAAUCUAUUCUAAGUAACGGUAAUGUCCGUAAGUUGUGUGACUUAAAUGUUAAUUAUUUAAGUGACUGUCAUGUCCAUAAGUUGUGUGACUAUUAAUGUAUGUAAGUUGUUUGACUGUAAUGUCUGGGGCAACAACUGCAUUUAGUUGUUGAGUUACUAGUUAAUUAAUUAUUAAGUACCCCAGGGCAUGUAUGGAUUUGUGUUUUAAAACUUGGUAUUGUAUUUUGAAACAAUGUUUAUUGGAAAUAGAGGGAUUUUUAUUUAUUUUGUCGCACUGCUUUACUUACAAAAAUGCCCAAUUUUUUAUGUGAAACAGCCUUUGAAAGAAAAAUAUAGCAAAAAUUAUUUAAUUUUAUUUCUGAUAAUGUAGUCAGUCCGUAGAUGUCCCUUGACCAAAUAAAUGGUCCGCUAUCUACUUUUGUAGCCUGUUGAACAGGUAUCUGACUUAAGUUCUUUGUCCUUUUCUAUUAAACCUGUAUAUCCAUUUUUUACUACUUUGAGCACGAAUAAGAUGAAUGUUUGUCCCCAGUUUAUAGGUCAAGGUCACAGUGGACACUUUAAAUUUGUGUAUAUUCCUUAAAUGGAUGUAGUAAAAUUAUAUGUUCCUGCACGGCUUUAUUUUGUUAUAUUUUGUUUUAUUUUUGAUAUUGUAGUCGGUCAGUAGAUGUCCCUUGACCAAAUAAAUGGUCCGCUAUCUACUGUUGUAGCCUGUUUGACAGGUAUCUGACUAAGUUUUGUUAACGCCCGUUUGAAAAAACGGACAUAUUAUGUGAUCACCCAUGGGUGGGCGGCUUCCAGAUCUCUGAGUAUAACUCUUAAAGUAUAAGAGCUUUUCACAUGAAAAUUCAUAUAUGGAUUGAUUUCAUUGAGAAGAAGUGCAGUGCACGAGAACCAUAACUCUAGCUUGCUUUAUUUCAGAAUUAUACCACAUUUUAAAUUUUCUUUUCUGAGUCAUAACUUCAUAACUAUAAGGCCAAUUAACAUCAAACUUGGAAUAAACGUAGGUUGUGGUGUAUAGAAGUGCAGCCCACAAGAAUCAUAACUUUAGAUUGCAUAAUUUUAGAAAUAUCCCCAUUAAUAAUUUUGUUGGUAUGCCUUUUUUCUUGGUUGCCUGUUUUUUAUGUCCCCAGUCUAUGCUGGGGGACAUAUUGUUUUUGCCCUGUCUGUUGGUUUGUUUGCACAAACUUUAACAUUGGCCAUAACUUUUGCAAUAUUGAAGAUAGCAACUUGAUAUUUGGCAUGUAUGUGUAUCUCAUAGAGAAUAUUUCAUUGAGUGUGACCUUCUUGGUGACCUUCAAAAAAAGACAAGCAUUGGGGCAUUACGACUCUUGUUUCAUAAAAAAAAAAAAUUUGUUCAAGGUAACUACAAUUAGUCCUCUACAACUUUCACAUUUUAUUUAGUUCAACAGUUCUAUCACAUUUUACAAGUUUUACAUAUUUUUGAGAAAAAAAGUAAAGCUGUGCUACUGUGGACAUUCAUUGUUUUACUCUUUUUUAUUAUUAAUUAAUGAUCUUUAAGAUUGGUAUCUUCAUUCCAUUUUGGACAUGGUCUGGUCAGUAUUAGUAUUAUACAUAUGAAUGUUAGAAGGUUCAUAUAUCUAUGUUUGCAAUUACAAGAUAAAAAUGCAGAUAAUAUUGCAGCCAAAUUGUGUUACAAUGUAUUACUAUCUGAUGUGUUGUGUGUCAUUGAAUAGCAUAAUCCAUGAGACAUCUUGCACCCAAGCUGAUCCAGGCAAAUGCUGGUCAUGCCCAAAGAAUUUUAUCUGCCAUUGAUUCUUAGAAGGUUUGUGCCCAGCACAUCAUCAGGCACAUUGAAUUUUUACCGUAAUGUAACAAUAAUACAUUGUUCUGGUUCUUACAUAGUUUCAAAUCGUGUAUUACUGUAUACAAAGUUCCCAUUUUAUGUCAUGGGCACAUGCAAGAUGCACAGAGAUGGCAAUAUUGAUAGUCCAGCAAUAUCAGUAGAUUUCUAUAUGAAAUGUAUAUAAACAGAAAUUUCAUUUUCUUUUAAUUUCAUCAUUUCUGGUCAUAUACCUAUCGUUCAUAUUUCAUUGGAAAGCUCUUGAAAUUCUUAAGAUGUCAUAAUUAAAAACUAAAAAUGAGGUUAAACAAACAGACCAUUUAUUGUUCAAUGUUCUUUUCAGUCAAAUUAUGGGAAAAAAAUCAUAUAGUGUAACUUUUAUGCUUAUAAUUUUCUGUAGACAAUAUUAUAUUGUAAAAUAUAUUUAUAUCUAAAAUGCAAAAUGAAUAACAGUUAAAAUGAUACCAUUUUGAGCUCACCUGAGCACGAAGCUUUUAGGAUCACCUUACGUCCGUUGUCCGUGGUGUGUCAACCUGCUUCAAAUGACAUCGCCUAAACUAUGCCAAUUUUGAUAAAACUUUACAAGAAUGAUCAUUGGGUGACCCUAUACUAAAAUUGCUUUAUUUGUUCUGCUUUUGUUGCACAAGAUGACUAUCAUUACUAAAAAUAAAAAAAAUCUUUAAGUGGCAUAUUCUUUUAAACCACUACGCCAAAUUUGCCAAAUAAGUUUACAGAAGUGAUCCUUGGGUUAUCCUUGACAAAAUUGAUUAAAUCAUUUCUUUAUGAUGCAAGAGAUGGCAGUUGUCGCUAGAACAUUAUUGGAUAUUUUGACAUGAACUAGUACACUAAUUGUUCAGGUGAGUGUCUAAGGGCCAUCGGGCCAUCUUGUUAAUAUACCCUCUCAGAGCUGUUAACAAUAUUUUUUAUAUUUAGUUAAAAAAUAACAGAAGCUAUUAACAUUUUCCCCCACUGUAAUUGUAAACUAUCAAAAUGGCUGCCAGAUUAUUGUAAAUAAGAACAAUAUAACUCUUAUCAGAUAGAAAAAUUGGUGCUUUGAAAACUAUAUUGAUAUUUUAUCUGUUUCUAUGUAUAGACGGCUUUGUAAAUUUCAUACAAUGAGUAGUUGGUUUCCUAUUGAACUAUUACGCCAUUUUGGCAUAGAACGUAACCAAAGAAUAUGUACUUUGUGAAGUUGUUUAGGUGAUGAGUUUCAGUACUGUUUCAGUCACUUUAAAUCUACACGUAAAAAAAUAUUUAUAAAUAUUUUAGAAUUCAUCCUCUUAUAAAAUGGAAAAGUUAAUGAAUACGUAAUAUACAUCUGUACUUUUUCAAGUUAGUAUUAUUUUGUAAAAUUGUUAUGAAUAAUUUUAUUCAUUAUAAAUCAUGUCAUGGAUUUUUAAUUACAUGUAAAUCUUAGUAUUGUGCUAUAGUCAUAAUUCUUUUAACUACAUUGUGAAAGUGUGACCUAGUGCUACUUUGACAUAAUAUAAUUGUUGUAAUAUCCUAAAAUCUGUUGUAAGUUUUGUUGCUUGUUAAUACAGUUCUACCGGUACUUGUUCUUGAGUUCAUAUUACUUUAGAAAUUAAUUAUGUUAGAUGUAUGUGUUUACAUCACACACAAUUGUGAUUCUACUGUAUAAUUAUAUAAGUAAAUAUGUCCAAUCUAGAAUCUGUUUUAUACUGAGCUUUCAUAUUUGGUAUGUAGCAUUAUCUAGAGGUCCGCUACCAAAGUUGUUCAAAUUGUUCCUCUGGGGUCAAAAUUGACUCCGCCCUGGGGGUCACAAUUUUACAUUGAAUUAUAUAAGGAAAACUUUAAAUGACUUGAACUGCUAAUGGGAUUUUGACCAAACUCAACAGAAAUGGUCCCUGGGUAGUCCUCUACCAAAAUUGUUCAAAUGGUUCUGAUUGGUUGCAUAAGUACACAUUGUCAAAAAAAAAAGGUUUUUAAAAUGCAACUUUCAAAAAUCUUCUUGUCUGAAACUACAAGACCCAGAGCUUUCAUAUUUGGUAUAUAGCAUCCUCUAGAAGUCCUCUUCCAAAUUUGGUUUAAGUUAUGCCCCUAGGGUUAAAAUUGACCCCGCACCGGGGGUCACAAUUUUACAUUGAAUUAUAUAAGGAAAACUUUAAAUGACUUCUUAUCUUGAACCGUUAAUGGGAAUUUGAACAAACUCAACAUUAACGGUCCCCUUACCACAAUUGUUCAAAUGGUUCUGAUUGGUUGCAUAAGUAGGUCAAGGGGUAAAAAAAUAGGUUUUCUAAAUGCAAUUUUCAAAAAUCUUCUUGUCUGAAACUACAAGUCCUAGAGCUUUCAUAUUAAUUUCAUGUAUAACAUCAUCUAGAGGUCCUCUACCAGUAUUUGGUGGACAACAUUAGUGGUCCUCUGUAAAUGGCUCCAUUGUGACCUUUGACCUUUUCCUAAGGUGAGCGACCCAGGGCCCUUUGGGCCCUCUUGUUAUUUUUCAUUAAAGGGACUCUCUCAGACACGUGUAAUUUGGGAGUAAAUAAACGUUAAAAAUUUGAUAUUCAACUUCCUCGUCACUAUACCAAAGACCGCUUUCAUUUUCCUUACUUAUAAGUUACUAAAACCCCAUGUUUUUGUUGCUUGGUGUGAAGUGAGCCUUUGCGCCAGUCUGUUCAACGUUGGGAAAGCCGGUUUAUAAAUAAACUGAGGAAUUCUUUUUCGCGCUAAGCUAUCACGUGACGUCUAAAAAUAAACACUACACAGCAACAUAGUAGCAAAGGGAAAUAAUCGUGCGCUUAGUUUGGGUGGAAUUCUGAACAUUUGAUGUAGAAAAUGCGAGUAUUUUUUAUUUUCCUUACCAAAUUGACCAAGAUUCAAUAAAUAUUAAUGUCUUCUCUAUUUGUUUUUGUCAUCGCUCGACCCAUUUUCGUCUAACGCAAAUAAUGUAUGCGACCAUGCACAUGUUCAGUAAACGUUUCCGAAGACCCACGUGACGAUGGUAUCUAAAAACACCACCUCUUAUUCUAAGUUAAGAUCGUUGUUUACAAAAUAAACCCGUUUAAACGGUCUUACAUAUCUGCGAUUUAAAUGUUAAUUUUCUUCUCUGUACAAAUAUGAGCAAGUUUGGAAAGCUGUCAAUAAUCUAGUUCUGUGUUACUUUAGAAAUGUAUGUUGUCGUGUUUAUGGUAGAAGACAAUUUAUUUACAAAAAGUUAAAAUCUCGAUCUCUGAGAGAGUCUCUUUAACGAAAAACCGGAGAACAGUAGUAAAAAUUAUUUAAAAUUUUGAGAAAAAGGCAUUCAUCGUUACCCCAAACCUUUAUUAUUAUCAGCCAUGUUUUUUUCAUAUCAGGGAUGGUCUAAAACCCGUGGUGUCUGGAACUGUAUAUGUUCUGAUUUUUUUACAAAUAAUGUUUUUUUGGGGGGGGCAGGUGGUUUUGGACAGGGGCGGGCGUGGAUGAGAAUCUAAAAUAUUUUUUUCUAUUGCCUAACUGUAAAAUAACAUAUCUUGAAAAAUAAAAUCCUGCAAAUACUUUCUACCUGUUGUUCUGUUACAUGUGUGUUGAACAUUUCUGUGACUUGUUAAAAUCCUAUGGACAAAUUUCUAGUCUAAAUUAGCUUCUCAAUUUAAAUAACUUGUUCCUUCAAAAUAGUGCAUGGUUUGAUAUUGUACUAUUUAAAAUUUGAAUUAAUAUUAUCUCUAGUCCUGGCAAGUCUAUGUUCUUUAAGUAAAUUGAAAUUUAAAGGUUUAUUCAUUUAAACAUUUUGCAAUGAUUUCUGUUAGUUCACAUCUUGUUAAAAUGUUUUAUACAUGCAUAGUUUAUGCCUUGGUUAAAUAAAAUCUGAAAUCUGUUGUGGGAAGUAUCAUACUAUGUAUUCGUGUUUCUGUUUGUAAAACGUUUAAUAAAACUAUUUAACAUAUA